Molecule: long non-coding RNA, 285 nt
Organism: Ananas comosus (pineapple)
Lineage: Eukaryota; Viridiplantae; Streptophyta; Magnoliopsida; Poales; Bromeliaceae
Exons: 2
Source: RefSeq, a predicted model, not a curated record
CCGCUUCUUCGAACUACUAUAUAUAUCCCCUUUCCUCUUCGCUUCGCCAGUUGAAAUUCCUAUUUCAAUUCCCAAACCCCUUCGUCGUUGCGAUUAAAAAUAUGCAGAUGGGGACAAAUCAGAUGCAGUGGAAGAAACCUGAGAUCUUUAGAUGUGAAUUUUGGAUCGCCAUUUAUCAUAUUUUUGCUUGGAACAGCAACUGUAACUGUUGUUUCUUAAGUUGUAGAACAUUUCUUCUUUAAUAUUUAUAGAGAUAAAUAUAAAAUGUUGAAUUUUGUGUGAAUA